GUUACUUGUUGAUUCGUGCUAGUCCAUACCACUAGGUUAGUCAGAAUCAUUAUGACUAAUUAAGGAAGAGACCUGAACCUAAAAUCUCCUCAAUCAAUUAUUAAGUCUAGUGAUCUUCCACCAUUGUAGAGAUGCAUAUGCCUUCCUAGCAUUGAUUAUUCUUGGCUAGUCACAGUGGUUUGGUUGCAUCGGGAGGGUAUAACCACUCUAUGGUAUUGGAUGCCCCAG
This 228-nucleotide long non-coding RNA is filed under the name Elaeis guineensis (African oil palm). Its description in RNAcentral is "long non-coding RNA (EGUI_LNC068963)". The record is from RNAcentral. Lineage: Eukaryota; Viridiplantae; Streptophyta; Magnoliopsida; Arecales; Arecaceae.